AGUGAACGCUGGCGGUAGGCCUAACACAUGCAAGUCGAACGGCCGCACAGUAAGAGCUUGCCCUUACGGGUGGCGAGUGGCGGACGGGUGAGGAAUACAUCGGCAUCUACUUUUUCGUGGGGGAUAACGUAGGGCAACUUACGCUACUACCGCAUACGACCUACGGGUGAAAGCAGGAGAUCUUCGGACCUUGCGCGAUUGAAUGAGCCGAUGUCGGAUUAGCUAGUUGGCGGGGUAAAGGCACACCAAGGCGACGAUACGUAGCCGGUCUGAGAGGAUGGAUCGCCACAACGGAAACUAGACAAGGUCCAGACUCCUACGGGAGGCCGCAGUAGGGAAUUUUCGGCAAUGGGGCACAGCCUGAAGCCGCCACUCCCCGUGGGUGAAGAAGGUCUUCGGGUUGUAAAACCCUUUUUUCUGGGAAGAAAAAGCGUGUGGGUAAUUCCCCACUUUUUGGCGGUACCCCAAAAGAAAACCACGGCUAACUUCGUG
Molecule: ribosomal RNA, 492 nt
Filed under: uncultured bacterium
Lineage: Bacteria
Description: partial 16S ribosomal RNA
Rfam family: Bacterial small subunit ribosomal RNA
Source: RNAcentral